UACGUAGGGUGCAAGCGUUGUCCGGAAUUAUUGGGCGUAAAGAGCUCGUAGGCGGUUCGUCGCGUCGGCUGUGAAAUCCCGGAGCUCAACUCCGGGUCUGCAGUCGAUACGGGCGGACUCGAGUUCGGCAGGGGAGACUGGAAUUCCUGGUGUAGCGGUGAAAUGACGGCCAGAGUAUCAGGAGGAACACCGGUGGCGAAAGGCGGAUCGUCUGGGCCAUUACUGACGCUGAGGAGCGAAAGCGUGGGGAGCGAACAGG
RNAcentral lists this ribosomal RNA (259 nucleotides) under uncultured bacterium. RNAcentral's name for it is "partial 16S ribosomal RNA". It matches the Rfam family "Bacterial small subunit ribosomal RNA", at positions 524 to 776 of the family's 1533-position model. The record is from RNAcentral.